UCCUGGUUUCCCAGGCAGUCUCAUCAGAGUGCCUUCUUGCGAAGUAGCAACUGAUGACAGGAGUUGCGCUCGUUAAAGGACUUAACCCAACAUCUCACGACACGAGCUGACGACAGCCAUGCAGCACCUGUGCAAAUGUCUGAGGUUACCCCCAGAAAGCUCUAUCUCUAGAGUUGUCAUAAGCAUGUCAAGCCUAGGUAAGGUUCCUCGCGUAGUGUCGAAUUAAACCACAUGUUCCACCGCUUGUGCGGACCCCCGUCAAUUUCUUUAAGUUUUAAUCUUGCGACCGUACUCCCCAGGCGGAUCACUUAUCGCGUUAGCUACGACACUGAUUCUGCAGAGCAGAACCAACGUCUAGUGAUCAUCGUUUACGGCGUGGACUAC
RNAcentral lists this unclassified non-coding RNA (384 nucleotides) under uncultured bacterium. RNAcentral describes it as "contains 16S-23S intergenic spacer region". The record is from RNAcentral.